AAAUUGAAGAGUUUGAUCAUGGCUCAGAUUGAACGCUGGCGGCAGGCCUAACACAUGCAAGUCGAACGGUAACAGGAAACAGCUUGCUGUUUCGCUGACGAGUGGCGGACGGGUGAGUAAUGUCUGGGAAACUGCCUGAUGGAGGGGGAUAACUACUGGAAACGGUAGCUAAUACCGCAUAACGUCGCAAGACCAAAGAGGGGGACCCUCGGGCCUCUUGCCAUCGGAUGUGCCCAGAUGGGAUUAGCUAGUAGGUGGGGUAACGGCUCACCUAGGCGACGAUCCCUAGCUGGUCUGAGAGGAUGACCAGCCACACUGGAACUGAGACACGGUCCAGACUCCUACGGGAGGCAGCAGUGGGGAAUAUUGCACAAUGGGCGCAAGCCUGAUGCAGCCAUGCCGCGUGUAUGAAGAAGGCCUUCGGGUUGUAAAGUACUUUCAGCGGGGAGGAAGGGAGUAAAGUUAAUA
RNAcentral lists this ribosomal RNA (468 nucleotides) under Escherichia coli. RNAcentral describes it as "bacterial SSU rRNA". It matches the Rfam family "Bacterial small subunit ribosomal RNA", at positions 1 to 465 of the family's 1533-position model. Lineage: Bacteria; Pseudomonadati; Pseudomonadota; Gammaproteobacteria; Enterobacterales; Enterobacteriaceae. The record is from RNAcentral.